UACGGGUAUAAAUUAAUGGUAAAUUGAUUGCCUUCCAAGCAGUUUUUAUGGGUUCAAGCCCCAUUACCCGUAU
Molecule: transfer RNA, 73 nt
Filed under: Cyanophora sudae
Lineage: Eukaryota; Glaucocystophyceae; Cyanophorales; Cyanophoraceae
Description: tRNA-Gly
Rfam family: tRNA
About the family: Transfer RNA (tRNA) molecules are approximately 80 nucleotides in length. Their secondary structure includes four short double-helical elements and three loops (D, anti-codon, and T loops). Further hydrogen bonds mediate the characteristic L-shaped molecular structure. tRNAs have two regions of fundamental functional importance: the anti-codon, which is responsible for specific mRNA codon recognition, and the 3' end, to which the tRNAs corresponding amino acid is attached (by aminoacyl-tRNA synthetases). tRNAs cope with the degeneracy of the genetic code in two manners: having more than one tRNA (with a specific anti-codon) for a particular amino acid; and 'wobble' base-pairing, i.e. permitting non-standard base-pairing at the 3rd anti-codon position.
Source: RNAcentral